This 316-nucleotide ribosomal RNA is filed under the name uncultured bacterium. Its description in RNAcentral is "bacterial SSU rRNA". It matches the Rfam family "Bacterial small subunit ribosomal RNA", at positions 28 to 334 of the family's 1533-position model. The record is from RNAcentral.
GAUGAACGCUGGCGGCGUGCCUAACACAUGCAAGUCGAACGAAGCACUUUGAAUAUUUCGGUAUGAGAAGUGACUGAGUGGCGGACGGGUGAGUAACGCGUGGGUAACCUGCCUCAUACAGGGGGAUAACAGUUAGAAAUGACUGCUAAUACCGCAUAAGCGCACAGCUUCGCAUGAAGCAGUGUGAAAAACUCCGGUGGUAUGAGAUGGACCCGCGUCUGAUUAGCUAGUUGGUGAGGUAACGGCCCACCAAGGCGACGAUCGGUAGCCGGACUGAGAGGUUGAACGGCCACAUUGGGACUGAGACACGGCCCAG